UAGGGAAUCUUCCGCAGUGGGCGAAAGCCUGACGGAGCAACGCCGCGUGAGUGAUGAAGGUCUUCGGAUCGUAAAACUCUGUUAUUAGGGAAGAACAAAUGUGUAAGUAACUAUGCACGUCUUGACGGUACCUACUCAGAAAGCCACGGCUAACUACGUGCCAGCAGCCGCGGUAAUACGGAGGUGGCACGCGUUAUCCGGAAUUAUUGGGCGUAAAGCGCGCGUAGGCGGUUUUUUAAGUCUGAUGUGAAAGCCCACGGCUCAACCGGGGAGGGUCAUUGGAAACUGGAAAACUUGAGUGCAGAAGAGGAAAGUGGAAUUCCAUGUGUAGCGGUGAAAUGCGCAGAGAUAUGGAGGAACACCAGUGGCGAAGGCGACUUGCUGGGCUGUAACUGACGCUGAUGGGCGAAAGCGUGGGGAGCAAACAGG
RNAcentral lists this ribosomal RNA (429 nucleotides) under Actinomycetes bacterium. Its description in RNAcentral is "Actinobacteria bacterium partial 16S ribosomal RNA". It matches the Rfam family "Bacterial small subunit ribosomal RNA", at positions 355 to 776 of the family's 1533-position model. Lineage: Bacteria; Bacillati; Actinomycetota; Actinomycetes. The record is from RNAcentral.